Trichosurus vulpecula (common brushtail) is the source of this 1367-nucleotide long non-coding RNA. RefSeq lists it as uncharacterized. The record is from RefSeq and is a predicted model, not a curated record. The transcript is spliced from 4 exons. Lineage: Eukaryota; Metazoa; Chordata; Mammalia; Diprotodontia; Phalangeridae.
CACUGUCUAAAGACAAAGCUUCUCUCCGGAGAUGAUCAUACACAGGAAAGGAAACAAAUUAUUUUCCCAAGAUUCCCAUUGUCAUCUGUUUGCGAAUUGUCACUGGAAAGGAACAGGAAUCUUGUAAGGGAGGAGUGCUUGGGAGGAUAAGAAAGAAGGGAGAAAAACCAGAAUGGAAAAAAGAAAAAGGAGAUGUGCCUGGAACCUCCCCUCAGCUCUCAAUGGACAUGGCAUUGAUCAGCUGUUCCACUUUAUAUGACAGCCGCUGCCUCCGUGCCUGUUCAUCCUGUUCAAGGGCCCCUAUGAUCUGGAGGGGAAAGAGAAGCACAGAAGUCACACGGACAUCAGAGAUCUUUGGAGUUCAUUUCUUUUUUUUUAAUGUUUCAUCCUUACAACCACCCUGUGAGCUCUAGGGAUGGAGAGCCCAUCUCCACUCUCGGAAGCCUUGCUAAGGGUCUCAGUGCUCGGAGUGAAGCCUAUUCCUCAACGGUAACAUAAGGCAGCAUUAUUUUCUUGGACUCUCACACAAAACCAUCGGGCAUAUUGAACCCAUAUUGACAGUGCCCACUGCUAUUGUCUGGAGGACAAGUGCAGAGAGCCCUGGGCACUUCCACUGAGCAAGGACAACGGUCUCCACCUAUGCUUCAUGCCCAGCCAGCUUGGGCCUCCGCUCCCAGCAUCAUUUCCCAGAGCUGGCCUGGCCUGGCUAAGGCGGAACUAUGCCUAGAGGAAUGGGUUCCCCAGGGAGUCUUUUCAACAGGUCUCCUCCUCCUGAAAACGCCAGUUCAUUCAAGUGUCUAGGCUGUGGGAAGUCAUGGAGAGAGCUUGGGGGGGGGACUGUUGUGUGGCUGGCAUCUCAAAGAAUGACUUGCUGCAGGUUGGGGGCUGCUCUUUGUCCCCAAAGGAGCUUGUCAGAUGUGAAGGGAUUUCCUCCCCAAAGGAGGUUUUAAUCAGGGGAGAUGAUUAUUCUCUGCUUCUUUGGCCAUGGAGUGAAGGACAAACCCAGCCCACCCCCUUCCCAAAUCCCCAAACAGCUGCUGCUUUCUCAUCAUUUUCAAGGCUGUGAUUUUCCAUCUCCAGCUACACCCUUAGAGCCCUAACCCUUUGGACUCUUUUUGGGGAGCAAUGGGGUAGAGUAGGAAGAGUGAUGAAUAGAUCAGGAGCUAAUGGACCUGUGUUCAAAUCCCACUUUUGUUCCUUACUCUGUGUAAUCUUGAGCAAAUCACUUAUUUCUCUGUUUCCUGAGUUUUUGAUUGAUUGGUCAAUCCCCAGCUCAGUUUUGCAUUUUUUUAUGGAGCAGUGAAAACCCUGGAAAGCCCCGGCCUUGACACUUAAUAUUGGUAUGACGUUGGACAAGUCACUUUGAA